GACGAACGCUGGCGGCGUGCUUAACACAUGCAAGUCGAACGGAAAGGCCCUGCUUUUGUGGGGUGCUCGAGUGGCGAACGGGUGAGUAACACGUGAGUAACCUGCCCUUGACUUUGGGAUAACUUCAGGAAACUGGGGCUAAUACCGGAUAGGAGCUCCUGCUGCAUGGUGGGGGUUGGAAAGUUUCGGCGGUUGGGGAUGGACUGGCGGCUUAUCAGCUUGUUGGUGGGGUAGUGGCUUACCAAGGCUUUGACGGGUAGCCGGCCUGAGAGGGUGACCGGCCACAUGGGGACUGAGGUACGGCGCAGUCUGCUACGGGAGGCAGCGGUGGGAAGUAUUGCACAGCGGGCGGGAGCGUGAUACAGAAGCGCCGCGUGCGGAAUGACGGCCUUCGGGUUGUGAACCGCUUUCGCCUGUGACGAAGCGUGAGUGACGGUAAUGGAUAAAGAAGCACCGGCUAACUACGUG
This 468-nucleotide ribosomal RNA is filed under the name uncultured bacterium. RNAcentral describes it as "partial 16S ribosomal RNA". It matches the Rfam family "Bacterial small subunit ribosomal RNA", at positions 28 to 507 of the family's 1533-position model. The record is from RNAcentral.